RNAcentral lists this microRNA precursor (97 nucleotides) under Nicotiana sylvestris (wood tobacco). Its description in RNAcentral is "MIR6152 microRNA precursor family". It matches the Rfam family "MIR6152 microRNA precursor family". Lineage: Eukaryota; Viridiplantae; Streptophyta; Magnoliopsida; Solanales; Solanaceae. The record is from Rfam by way of RNAcentral. RNAcentral also lists the same sequence under 1 other name.
UAGACAGAUUUUUGUAUUCGAAUGUAUUCACGGCGUGAAACAGGGGAUUACAACUGUUUUUAAACGGAAAGUGAAUCAAUUAACAUAAUAGACUCCU